AUGGUGCCCCAUGUAGCUCAGUUGGUAGAGCAUGGUGCCCCUGUAGCUCAGUUGAUAGAGCAUGGUGCCCCUGUAGCUCAGUUGGUAGAGCAUGGUGCCCCUGUAGCUCAGUUGGUAGAGCAUGGUGCCCCUGUAGCUCAGUUGGUAGAGCAUGGUGCCCCUGUAGCUCAGUUGGUAGAGCAUGGUGCCCCUGCAGCUCAGUUGGUAGAGCAUGGUGCCCCUGUAGCUCAGUUGGUAGAGCAUGGUGCCCCUGUAGCUCAGUUGGUAGAGCAUGGUGCCCCUGUAGCUCAGUUGGUAGAGCAUGGUGCCCCUGUAGCUCAGUUGGUAGAGCAUGGUGCCCCUGUAGCUCAGUUGGUAGAGCAUGGUGCCCCUGUAGCUCAGUUGGUAGAGCAUGGUGCCCCUGUAGCUCAGUUGGUAGAGCAUGGUGCCCCUGUAGCUCAGAUGGUGGUAGAGCAUGGUGCCCUUGUAGCUCAGAUGGUGGUAGAGCAUGGUGCCCCUGUAGCUCAGAUGGUGGUAGAGCAUGGUGCCCCUGUAGCUCAGAUGGUGGUAGAGCAUGGUGCCCCUGUAGCUCAGAUGGUGGUAGAGCAUGGUGCCCCUGUAGCUCAGUUGGUGGUAGAGCAUGGUGCCCCUGUAGCUCAGUUGGUGGUAGAGCAUGGUGCCCCUGUAGCUCAGUUGGUGGUAGAGCAUGGUGCCCCUGUAGCUCAGUUGGUGGUAGAGCAUGGUGCCCCUGUAGCUCAGUUGGUGGUAGAGCAUGGUGCCCCUGUAGCUCAGUUGGUGGUAGAGCAUGGUGCCCCUGUAGCUCAGUUGGUGGUAGAGCAUGGUGCCCCUGUAGCUCAGUUGGUGGUAGAGCAUGGUGCCCCUGUAGCUCAGUUGGUGGUAGAGCAUGGUGCCCCUGUAGCUCAGUUGGUGGUAGAGCAUGGUGCCCCUGUAGCUCAGUUGGUGGUAGAGGAUGGUGCCCCGGUAGCUCAGGUGGUGGUAGAGCAUGGUGCCCCGGUAGCUCAGGUGGUGGUAGAGCAUGGUGCUUGA
This 1026-nucleotide long non-coding RNA is filed under the name Oncorhynchus kisutch (coho salmon). RNAcentral describes it as "lncRNA (ENSOKIG00005035747.1)". The record is from RNAcentral. Lineage: Eukaryota; Metazoa; Chordata; Actinopteri; Salmoniformes; Salmonidae.